UUUCAGCUGCACAGACAUCACCCUGAGCACUUGUUCCAGCUGGGAGUACAUUUGUCAUGGCAUCCUCCAGCAGUGUCCUAUCUGAAGAUGAGCUGCAGUGCUCCAUCUGUCUGGAUGUGUUCACUGAUCCUGUCUCUACUCCAUGUGGACACAACUUCUGUAAGGUCUGUCUUAGAAAGUGCUGGGACACCUGUCCACACUGCCAGUGUCCAGUUUGUAAAGAGGCCUUCCCCAAAAGACCUGAGCUUCGUGUGAAUACAUUUAUCUCUGCACUGGCUACUCAAUUUAAGAAGUCAGUUCAGGUGAAAUCCAGCAGCGCUGCAGAUCCGCUUCUCUCCAUGACUAAAAAGGUUCUGUGUGACUCUUGCACUGAGGAAAAGCGGGAAGCUCUAAAGUCCUGUCUGCACUGUGGAGUUUCUCUCUGUAGCACUCAUCUACUGUUUCAUAAAACUACAGCAAAAUUCAAAAGGCACAAACUGAUCGACCCUGUGGAGAACCUGGAGGACUACAUCUGUCAGAAACAUGACAGACCCCUGGAGCUGUUCUGUAGAGAUGACCAGACGUGUGUGUGUCAGUUCUGCAUUGAGGGAGACCACAAAACUCACAACACUGUUCCCAUACAGGUAUUUAUGAAAAUCUGUAAUAACCAACAAACUUAUGGUGAAGAAACAUCUGUUGAAACAGUAAAAGACUGUGGCUCAGAAUCCGCACAAAUGGAGUUAAGGCAGCUCACCGAUGAUUUUCGUGCAUUUUUAAAAAGACUGGGACUUGAAAAGUACUACCCAAACAAGCUGACUCUGAGGUCUUUGCUGGAGAUCAACAAAGCCAGUGUAUCUAAUGAAGAGGUUCACUCACUGCAAGCCUUACCAUGGGCUUUCCUAUGCAAAUUACUGAUGGCUAAUUCAAAUUCAAGAUCUUUAUGUGUACCUGGUGAAAAUAAAGAAACAGAUGACAUGUUUGCUGAGCAGAGCUGUGAUGCUACCCCAAAUCUUCUAGAUCUCCACACUGCCCUCUUUGUCUGUGCAGACAGUUUCCUUCAGCAAGAAAUAGCACUUAAAAUGUCAAUGUGCCAGUUUGCAAUACCAUUUCUGUUACCUCAAGGAGUACAUAAUCAAUGCACUCUUAUGUUAUGGGCUCUUAGAGGUAUCCUGAAAGAAUGGCGUCCACAUUCAAUGUCAGAAUCUAAAGGGUUUGUUGAAGACAGUGUUGUUCAUGCAAACAUUCCCUUUAUAUCGUUUGUGAGGCUAAGCAACUGCAGUUUGUCCAAGUCACAGGUUUUGAACCAAGUGCUCAACAAGUCACAGCAGCACCAUGACUUCUUUUCUCAUCGAGAAAUGAUUGGAGGAUCUGCUCCAAGGAUAAUCGCUAAUGGGAUGGUUGAAAUAUGCUGGAGUCUGCCAUGUGGAAAUGAUAGCAUCGAUGUAUUUCCGGAACCAGUGGCUAUUGCUAAUUUAAGAGGAGAUGCUUGCACAUUUGAAACCCAAUUCCGUUUCCUUACUCAGGUGUCAACAGCUGUCUUUGUGUUCCUGGACAGUAUUGAAGAAAUGGAGCACAGGUUGUUUGACUCUUUAAAAGGAAUGAAAAAUAAUAUCUUUCUUGUGGUUAAUGCUCAGAGAAAUAUGAGCCAGAAUGUAAAGUCAUCUAUCAAAGCAGCAGUUGAUACUCUGCAAUUGGAAAGAGAUCACACCAUUGUGAAAAGCCAAACAGUGAAUUUGGCUAAUUUCUCAAUCAUGAUCAGUUCUGCCAUUAAAGAACUGCUAAGUGAGAAUCACAGAUCAUCAAUCACAGAAAUUGAGAGUAUGAAGAGAACUGCUCAGGAAUUAGGUCUUUGCAUUGAUGAAUAUGAAAACAGAGUCUGUAGAUCAGCAGAGGAAAGAGCAGAGAAAAUCAUGAAAAGUAUUGGAGUUCGUCAAAUAGUGGAAUAUAAAAAGACACGGCUGCCACUGCAAGGUGAAAAUUGGAAAAGACUGGCUCAGAUAGAAAAAGAGGAAUGCCGAUUACAACACUCAGGAGAGUUGACUUUGGAGGAGUAUAAGGUCAAACUUCAAAAAGACAAAGAUGAAAUUUGGAAGAAACAAAGGAACUAUAAAGUGACAGAAACAAUGGACAUCUUAAUAAAGUCAUUGUCAGCCUCUGAUGACACUGAGCGAGCUUUUUUUCUCAGAUGGCUGGGACUAAAGCUGGACAUGCGAACACGCAGAGACAUGUCAAAACUUCGGCAAAAAUAUACAAAGUGUGAACAGCAGAAAGACAGUGAUGCUAUAGUUCGAUUAGACCAGGAGCUUCUUGAUUGUUCUCUUGGAAUAGAGCACUACAUGAGAGAAAUGGGACAAAUCUAUGCGGCUGCUUCAUUUGGUUCAACGAAAAUAUCUGAAAAAAUUAGCAGUCUCCCUACUCUGGCUGCCAAAAUGCUUCUGGCUGGUUUUCCUCUUGAACUACUUGAUGGAGAUGCAUCAAAUAUCCCAGAGAAAUGGGUGAGUGAUGUUCUCAUGGAGCUUCACAGGAUGGUUGGCCAGAAGAGCCAUUUGCUGGUUAUUACUGUGUUAGGGGUUCAGAGUACGGGUAAAUCAACACUACUCAACACUAUGUUUGGAGUUCAGUUUGCAGUGAGCAGUGGACGAUGCACACGUGGAGCAUUCAUGAUUUUCCUUCCUGUGGGUAAAGACUUGAAGGAGGAGUUACUUUGUGACUUUGUCCUUCUGAUUGAUACAGAGGGUUUGAAAUCACCAGCACUGGCACAACUGGAUGACAGUUAUGAACAUGACAAUGAGUUGGCCACAUUUGUGAUUGGUCUGAGUGAUGUAACCAUCAUUAAUGUAGCAAUGGAGAAUUCCACAGAGAUGAAGGACAUCUUACAGAUAGCAGUUCAUGCUUUUUUACGGAUGAAGGAAGUUGGUAAAAAAACAGUCUGCCACUUUGUCCACCAAAAUGUUGCUGGUGUAUCUGCAUAUAACAAAAACCUGACUGAACGAAAACAGCUCUUGGACCAACUGAAUGAGAUGACAACAAUUGCAGCUGCAAUGGAAAAGCAGCCUAAUGUGAAGAAAUUCACAGAUGUAUUGGAUUAUGAUGUGGAAAAGAAUAACUGGUAUAUACCAGGCCUAUGGCAUGGCACACCACCAAUGGCAUCAGUUAAUACAGGCUACAGUGUAGCUGUGUUGGAUUUUAAGAAAAACCUCUUGGAGAUGCUUAAAGUGAGAAAUGAUGAACAACUCUCUCAGAUCCCAGAGUUCCUGCAAUGGAUAAGUAGCUUAUGGAAGGCCGUGAAGUUUGAAAACUUCAUCUUUAGUUUCAGAAACACUCUUGUGGCCCAUGCCUAUGAUAACCUUUGCAGAGAGUUUUCUGAAUGGGAGUGGUCUUUCAGAAGACAUAUCCUUGCUUUGUUUGCUAGUGUAGAAGCUCAAAUAUCUAACGCUGAAAGCAGCAGUGUUCAUGAGGUUGUUGAGGCACUUCAAAAUAAUUCACAUAAAGAGAUUGCACUUCAAACAAAAGAUAUUACUGACAAGUUGAAAGACUACUACAAAAGGAAAGACUGUAAUGUGCAUUUAGUGGUAAAGUACAAAGCUGAUUUUUCCAAUAGCAUUAAAUCUCUGGAGAAUGAAAUGAAGCAUGAAGUAAGAAAGAAAUUAGAAGCUGCUGCUGAGAAGAGGAGAAACAAGGAGAAAGUAGAAGAAAUACAAAAUAAGCAAGCUGCUAUGAUUGAGUGUAAAGUUAGGCAGUUACUGCAGAAUUACAAAGAUCGUAACGAUACAGUGUCUGAUGAUGACCUCAUAGCUGAUUUUGAGAGAAUGUGGAAAAGAGAAGUGGCAAACAUCACUGGUCUAAAAGAAAAGGAUGUUCCUGCUGAUGUUUUGAAGCAACUGCGAGCAAGUUUAGGAAAUCGCCAAGUCAUGGAGGAUUUGCAGAGAAUAAAAAAUUUGACACAAUAUGGACAAGAAGAAUUCCAGGUCAAAGAGAAACAUGUAAAAAGUUAUAGCAAUAUAAAAGGAUGUUGUACCUCAAAUUAUGCAACGAAAACUCUAGAGAUUGUUGCAUUUGGUGUCAUUAAGAGUUGUACUAGGAUGAUUGAAUGGAUUAUACAAUCUGGAAGUGAUUACCAAGAUACAUUUACAAAAGAUGUGCUUGAGCUAAUAGAUGCACAACUCAAAAAAGAAGGCUCUAAAAUUAAUACCAAAUUUGAACUUGACAUCAAAUUGCACAUUUGUGGCAUUGCCUCUCAGAAAUUCACAGUGAUGCACAGGAAGUAUCUCACUGAGCAAGAUCCAUUAAAUCAUAUACAGAAAUUUAAGAGUCAGUAUCUCUCUGAUUUCAUUGAUUUGUACAGAGAGAGGGACCAGUGCCAGAGGAAGGCAAAAGACUUCACUCAGCUCUGUCUCAAGCCAGCAGUGACUGAGUACAUUGACCAGUCCCUUGGACCUGACAUUGUUGAUGCAGUUCUGGAGAAUAAAACUACUGAGUAUAGUUCACGAGCACUGUUUCAGUACACCAUCCUGAAUGAACUACUGGAAAAAUCCAACUUCACUGACUUUGUAGAGUAUAUUUUGCAUUAUGAGAAUUAUGUCAAAGACUGGAUAUACAAUCACAUCAUUAAAUGUUUCUCCAAAGACAUUUCUUUGCAAGAAUUGAAAAUGAAGAAGCUGGACAGAGUAAUUAAAAAGAUCACUAACGCAAUAGAAACAUCUAAGCUUGAACCCAAUGGGUCUCCUUUGCCCAAUAAUGCAGAAGGUACUACAGUCUUGAUCCAGAACCUUUGCAAAGCUAUGAGUGAUGUCAUCUCAAUAUCCAUGAGCACAGUGGAGAGGGUCCUGUUUCAGAACACAAGCUGUUGUGAUCCAUUCAUCAAAAGUCUCUAUGAAUGUAUUGAGGUCCUGAAACAGCAAAUAGCAAAGGAGAUCUCAGACUCAACUGAUAUCACUGAGACCCUGAACAAUGUGCCAGUAAAACCCCAAGAUGAGCUUUUCAAGAAGGUGUUCGGUUGUGGAGUGCAGUGUCCAUUUUGCAAAACACCAUGUGAGGCAGGUGGGAAGGAACAUCAGCUACACCAUGCAGCUGUGCACAGACCAAAAGGACUUGGCAGGUACAGAUCCGUAAAGACUAAUAUCCUUUGUGAAGAGAUUUGUACAUCUAGUGUUCAUGGCAAUGGAAUGUUUCAAAACCAUGAAACAAAUUUCCAACCUCAUCCAUACAAAGACUACCGAAAAUACUACCCAGACUGGCAUAUUGCUCCUGACAUGUCUAUAGAGGCUUCAGAUUACUGGAAGUAUGUGCUAGUGACAUUCAAUAAGCAAUUUGCUGAAAGUUAUAAAGCAUUGCCAGCUGUGUAUCCAGAUGCGUGGAAGACAAUCACUAAAGAUCAGGCUUUUAUUAGUCUGAAGUGCAUGUUUAAUAUUAAAUAAUAGAUAACCUGCAAAAUAUCACUGGAAAAAAUAUUGCCAUUUGUGAAGAGGACAACUCCAUCACUCAGUUCCAUCACAAAUGUUAUCGCUCAGGGGAAUUACGAACUGGAGCACUAGUUAUACUGUAUCUGACAAUUGAGCUUCUUCUUACUUACUAUUAUCUAAAUAUAGAAUCAAUUUUACUAAAAGUUAUUUUCGGGGAUUUAAAUGGUUUCUUUUAAACAUUAUAUCUGUAUGUCUACAAUGAUAAACAUUUUUAAAAAGUGUAGGUAGGAUUGUUAUAACAUCUUGGUGAUUGGAUUAUUUCUGUGUUUGUGAUGUUAAUUCAAAUGUUACAAUUAUGUUUAUUAAUCACUCGGUUACAAUUGUUACAAAUCUUUGUUAUAAAUGUUACAAUUAUGUUUAUUCACUACUUUCUAAAAUUCAAAUGAAUGUGUUAUUCAGAACAUAUUGUAUGAUUCUAUGAGUAUAUUCAUGAACUGCAUAAACAAUUCAUACCAUAAAUAUAUCUGUCAAUCAAAAUUGGUUGCAAGGACAAAUUUUAUUCAGUGUGAUUUACAAAUAAACUAAUACAUAAUACAAUAAACUAAUAAUUUCUCAUAUUCAUUCAAUUUAACACUUCUAUAAUCAUACAUUCAUAUGAGCCAUUCCACUGAAUGGGUGCCAUUUCUGUCCCCAGGACAUUAUAUGUAUAAAUAUGCAUGACAAUUAACUGAAAAAUACAUCUUAUUAUCAAGCAAAGUGUCUGCACAUUAAUCUAACAGCAAAUUAAAAAUAUAUAAUUUAAAACAUUUAUAAAAACUUCCUAGAACACUGAUAAAAUGUGUUACCUGUCCACACUCUCUAACACUACACUUUACUGCACUUUAUAAAUCUUUUUUUGCAUUGUUGUGUUCAUAUUUCAUCUACAGUUUAAAUAUUCUUUUUCAUAAGCAAUCCGUAAUAUUUUAAUUAAUAUACACAUUUUAGUCGUGUCCCCGGGUUUUAACUUUAACACCUCCCCUCUCUGAAAACAUUUGGAACAAGGCACAUGUUCACCAGGACGUUGUAUCAUCUGGAUCUUCUGAAGGCCAUGGGAAGACCAAAAAUGAAGAUGGAGAGAACCCAUACUAUGCAGGAGCCAGAAACACCCACCCAUUGUAUGUUGAAGGGGAAGGAGCGAAACACACCCACCACCCUCUCUAUCUCCUCUCUCUCUGUCUCUCCCUCCAUCUCUCUCUCCCUCCCUUCCCCUCUAUCUCCUUCUUUCCCUUUCCACUGCCUUUGCUGUGAAGAACUACAAGCAUAUAGAAUAUCCCUUCAAUAUAAACAUGCACGCAUGGCCAUACACACUCUCACAAACACAAAAACACACAGGCAUGCACACACACACUCAUUCCCGUUAUCCACCACCAGUGUGUAACAUACACCUGGAUGAUGCAACCGCAGCCAUAGUGCACCAGAACAUCCACCACACACCAGUUAUUAGUGGAGAGGAGAGUGGGCCAAUGAAGUGGGCCAUUGGGCCAAUAAAGGCCAAUGGGGAUUUUUAAUAACCACAGAGGGUCAGGACCUCAGUUUAACAUCUCUUCCAAAAAGCACUGCUGUUUUUACAUUAUAGUGUCCCAGUCUCUAUACUGGGGCAUUAGGACCCACACAGACCACAGUGUGAGCACCCCCUGAUGGCCUCACUAAUACCACUUCCAGCAGCAACCUUAGUUUUUGGUCUCCCAUCCAGGUACUGGCCAGGCUCAACCCUGUUUAGCUUCAGUGGGACACCAGAUGAAAAUUGCAGCAAGAUCUGACUCUGGCAAGAAACCAACUAAUAAAAUAAAAUAAAAUAAAAAUAAUUUCUAUUAUAUUUGGUCCAUAAUUUAUCAAAUAAUUUAAUAAAUUACAUGAUAAAAAAUGUAUAAACUUAAGGUUUGGGUCUCCUUUAAAAGGGAAAAUAUAGUUUUGCCUUUUCUUUCUUUUUUUCUUUCUUCCUUAUUUAUUUAUUUUUAAAUUUUUUUUUUUUUAGAAAAAUACAACUUGUGUGCAUAUACAGUGAUUUUUUAGUGAUUCUUUUUGUCACAAACAUCAAUUAUUUGAAUGUGUAACCAACCAUUUUUUUAUUUAUUUUUUUUUAAAUAAACACUUUCUUGAGGGAAAAACAAAGGAAUUAGUUUAGAAGUUUUCAUGCAUUUUAAAUGGAACAUGAGUUUUGGUAACAGGACUGAAAAAAUGCAACCAUCUUCUGCUUAGAAACCUUAUAAAAAUUUGAAUAGUUAAAUACGUGUGUUAUUAGAUUUGGUGUUGAAAAAAAAUUUUUUUUUAAAAGGUUAAUUUGGAAGAUUUACAACAAGCAAAUGGCACCCAUUUGAUGGAAUGGCUCAUAUACAUAUACAAAUGUACAACCCCAAUUCCGAAAAAUUUGGGACAGUAUGGAAAAUGCAAAAAACUAACAAAAAGAGUAAUUUGACUCACCUUGUACUAUAUUGAAAACAUAUUAUUUGAUGUUUUACUUUCUGAAUUGGAUUUAUUUUUUUUAAAUGCACUCAUUUUAAAUCUGAUGACUGCAACACACUCCAAAAAGUUGGGACAGUCGACUGUUGACCACUGUGCAACAUCAGUUUUUCUUUUAAUAACACUUAUUAAGUGUUUGGAUGCUGAGUGAAGACACCAGUUGGUUAAGUUUAGCAAGCAUUUAAUAAGUUUAUGCAUUUCUUCAGCUGCGCAACUUUAGAAGGCCUUACUUGCCUUAUUUUGCACUUCACAAUGUGCCACACAUUCUCAGAGAGACUGAGAGACAGGUUAGGGUUAGGGUUAUGAGACAGGUCAGGACCAUGCUAGCACCCGCACUCUCUGCUUACACAACCAUCUGGGCAGAAUGUGGUUUGGUGUUGUCCUGCUCUGGAUGGCAACAUAUAUUGCUCCAAAAUGUGUACAUAUCUUUCUGUAUUAAUGAUGCCCUUAGAGAUGUACAAGUUACCCAUGCCAUGGGCACUGACACACCCCAUACCAUGACAGACACUGGCUUUUGGACCUGACGCUGAUAACAGCUCGGGUGGUCCUUUUGCUCUUUGGCCUGGAGAACACAUCAGCUGUUUUGUCCGAUUUGAAAUGUCGACUCGUCCGACCACAAAACACGACUCCACUGUGCUACUGUCCAUCUCAAAUGAGACUGAGGCCAGAGAAGUGGGAGGAGCUUCUGGACAAUGUUGAUGUAUAGCUUCUGCUUUGCAUAGUGAUGUCUUAACUUGCGUCAAACAUUCAUUAAAUUUUAACCCUUUAAAUGCUGGUUUCUUUACACAAUACAAAAGUCUUCAAAGCUUCA
Molecule: RNA transcript, 8691 nt
Organism: Ictalurus punctatus (channel catfish)
Lineage: Eukaryota; Metazoa; Chordata; Actinopteri; Siluriformes; Ictaluridae
Gene name: E3 ubiquitin/ISG15 ligase TRIM25-like
Exons: 6
Source: RefSeq, a predicted model, not a curated record